This 1398-nucleotide ribosomal RNA is filed under the name uncultured archaeon. RNAcentral describes it as "bacterial SSU rRNA". It matches the Rfam family "Archaeal small subunit ribosomal RNA". The record is from RNAcentral.
ACCUGACUGCUAUCGGAUUGGUACUAAGCCAUGUGAGUCGUUGUAGCAAUACAAGGCAUACGGCUCAGUAACACGUAGUCAAUCUAACCUAUGGACGGGGAUAACCUCGGGAAACUGAGGAUAAAACCCGAUAGAUCAUAAUGCCUGGAACGGUUUAUGGUCCAAAUGAUUCGUCGCCGUAGGGUGGGACUGCGGCCUAUCAGCUUGUUGGUGAGGUAAUGGCCCACCAAGGCUAUUACAGGUACGGGCUCUGAGCGGAAGCCCGGAGAUGGGCACUGAGAUAAGGGCCCAGGCCCUACGGGGCGCAGCAGUUGCGAAAACUCCGCAAUGCACGAAAGUGUGACGGGGCUACCCCGAGUGCCGUCCGCUGAGGAUGGCUUUUCUCCGCUGUAAGGAGGCGGAGGAAUAAGGAGAGGGCAAGACUGGUGUCAGCCGCCGCGGUAAUACCAGCUCUCCGAGUGGUAGGGGUGAUUAUUGGGCUUAAAGCGUCCGUAGCCGGCCUGGCAAGUCUUCCGUUAAAUCCAGCAACCUAAUUGUUGGGCUGCGGGGGAUACUGUUAGGCUUGGGGGCGGGAGAGGCCGACGGUAUUCUCGGGGUAGGGGUGAAAUCUUAUAAUCCCGAGAGGACCACCAGUGGCGAAGGCUGUCGGCUAGCACGCGCCUGACGGUGAGGGACGAAAGCUGGGGGAGCGAACCGGAUUAGAUACCCGGGUAGUCCCUGCUGUAAACGAUGCGAGCUAGGUGUUGGGGCGGCUACGAGCCGCUUCAGUGCCGCAGCGAAGGCGUUAAGCUCGCCGCCUGGGGAGUACGGCCGCAAGGCUGAAACUUAAAGGAAUUGGCGGGGGAGCACCACAAGGCGUGAAGCUUGCGGUUCAAUUGGAGUCAACGCCGGGAACCUUACCGGGGGCGACAGCAGGAUGAAGGCCAGGUUGAUGGUCUUGCUGGACGAGCUGAGAGGAGGCGCAUGGCCGUCGUCAGUUCGUGCCGUGAGGUGUCCCCUUAAGUGAGGUAACGAUCGAGACCCGCGCCCCUUGUUGCUAACAGACUCCAUCGGGGUCUGUGCACACUAGGGGGACCGCCGUCGAUAAGACGGAGGAAGGAGCGGGCCACGGCAGGUCAGUAUGCCCCGAAUCCCCCGGGCCACACGCGAGCUGCAAUGGCAGGGACAAUGGGUGUCGACUCCGAAAGGAGGAGGUAAUCUCUAAACCCUGCCUCAGUUGGGAUCGAGGGCUGAAACCCGUCCUCGUGAAUAUGGAAUGCCUAGUAAUCGCGCGUCAUCAUCGCGCGGUGAAUACGUCCCCGCUCCUUGCACACACCGCCCGUCGUUCCAUCCGAGUGGGGUUUGGGUGAGGCGUAGUCCUUGGUGGCUGCGUCGAACUCAGGUUUCGCAAGGAGGGAA